AUCUACGGCCAUGCCACCCUGAACAAGCCUGAUGUCUGAUCUUGGAAGCUAAGCAGGGUCGGACCUGGUUAGUACUUGGAUGGGAAACCGCCUAGGAAGACCAGGUGCUAUAGGCA
Molecule: ribosomal RNA, 116 nt
Filed under: Pteropus alecto (black flying fox)
Lineage: Eukaryota; Metazoa; Chordata; Mammalia; Chiroptera; Pteropodidae
Also listed under: 1 other name
Source: RNAcentral